UGCCAGCCGCCGCGGUAAUACGGAGGGUGCGAGCGUUAAUCGGAAUUACUGGGCGUAAAGCGCGCGUAGGUGGUCUGUUAAGUCGGAUGUGAAAGCCCCGGGCUUAACCUGGGGAUUGCAUUCGAAACUGCCUCACUAGAGUCUAGCAGAGGGAUGGGGAAUUCCGGGUGUAGCGGUGAAAUGCGUAGAGAUCCGGAGGAACAUCAGUGGCGAAGGCGCCAUCCUGGGCUAAGACUGACACUGAGGUACGAAAGCGUGGGGAGCAAACAGGAUUAGAUA
RNAcentral lists this ribosomal RNA (279 nucleotides) under uncultured bacterium. Its description in RNAcentral is "partial 16S ribosomal RNA". It matches the Rfam family "Bacterial small subunit ribosomal RNA", at positions 506 to 784 of the family's 1533-position model. The record is from RNAcentral.